GGUACAAUGAGCCAACCAAAUUUACAAUGUGGUUUCUUUUUUGAAUAGUUUGGAUUUGACCCAACCUCUACGUAGGAAGAAGGCUGAAGAGACCGAGGCUCGAGUCGACGAAGAAGAAAACUAUGCUCGAGAUGGUUGUAAGAU
Molecule: long non-coding RNA, 144 nt
Organism: Cucurbita maxima (winter squash)
Lineage: Eukaryota; Viridiplantae; Streptophyta; Magnoliopsida; Cucurbitales; Cucurbitaceae
Exons: 2
Source: RefSeq, a predicted model, not a curated record